AAAUUGCGAAAAGUAAUGUGAAUUGCAGAAUUCCGUGAAUCAUCGAAUCUUUGAACGCAUAUUGCGCCCUCUAGUUCUCUAGAGAGCAUGCCUGUUUGAGUAUCAGUAAUACCCUCACCAACCCUUUUGGGUUUGUUGUGGACUUGAGCGCUCCAGUAGUUCAUAAGUACGCUUCUUCGCUUCUAGCGUUUUCGAGUGCUGUGAAUAAAAGCUGGUCGCUUGAAAUGUAGCGCGCGCUGUGCUUGUCACUGCAACUU
This 257-nucleotide unclassified non-coding RNA is filed under the name uncultured fungus. RNAcentral's name for it is "sequence contains ITS1". The stretch from base 1 to 105 matches the Rfam family "5.8S ribosomal RNA", at positions 50 to 154 of the family's 154-position model. The record is from RNAcentral. Lineage: Eukaryota; Fungi.